UUCUACUGAAAUGCCUAGUGAAAGAAUGAGUGUGAGAGAUGUUCUCAAAGAAUUACACAAGAUAAGAAAUGUAUUUAUUGGGGUUAGGGGGCAAAGGCAUUAGUAUAGAAGAAGAAAUGAUUCUUAACUAAAGCCGCAUCUGUAGGUUAUUUUGAUGUUCUAGAAUUUUCUUUCCCUCACUUUUCUUCUCCCCCGUCUUUUAUUUUCUGAAUCUGUAUUUGUUAAGCUAGAAUCGGCAUGAAAGUGGUUGUACUUGUGGCAUUGCCAUAAAAUAUUUAUAACUAGUUAAGGUUUCUAUAUGUUUAUAUGUAUGCCUUCUCUAUCUAGUUUUGUCAUAGUUUUGUUUUUUGGGUUAUGUUCUUUAGUAGUUCUAUUGUACAUUAGGGAGCUUGGCUCAAAAAAAAAAAAAAACUGAUGCCAUAGAAGCUAAAAGAGAAAAACAAAAACAAAAAAAGAUUUAGCUCAUAAUAUGAUGGAUUAUGAAGUUAUCAUACCAAUAUCACUCAUAUAAAUUAUUGAGCAACGGGAAAAAUGUUUCAUUUAUGUUGAUUUCACUCUCAUCAUAUAUUAAUCUAAAACUUAUUCCGAUGGUGUAAUGGUAUCAGUGACAUCUUGGUUAGAUGCAAAACUAAAACUUAAUCAAUGUAUAUAGCUAAUGGGAAAUAUGAAUAAUCUUUAUUAUGAGGAAAACAAAGAUUUACUAGUAGAAAGUGUUAAAAAAAUAAAAAACACAAUGCCAGCAACAAUCUUCUAGUCUAUAACCUACCUAUUAAAGCAGGAAAAUCUGCCUCUAACAUCAGUGUGUCUAACCCAAGUGAAAUGGAAAAUUCACCCUUGUUGAAGAUUGCUGAGCAAGAUCUCCGUCAGUUGGGUCUUCUCCAGCAGGCUGUUCAUCACCUCUUCCCGCGUGUGUUGCUGCAGCUUUCCACUCAGGCUUCUUCCACAAGUUCUGCUAUUUUAAGAGGUGUAAACUGUUGCCUUGCUACAAACUACUCUGAGUUUGGUCCGAGAAACAAAAGAGGCAUGGCAUUCCUCAACUUCCAUAUUCCAGUAGCUGUGAAUUCCAUUUCUUACUUCCAUUGUCCUAUGUUUGCUUCAUUGAAAAUUGUUUCAGAUGUCUGCUUAUGAGCUGGGUUAGUGCCGACAUUGAAUUGAAUUUAUUUUUUGUUCAAAUUAAUGUUCAUGCAUUUGUGCUUUGGUUUGAAGUUCUUAUUAAUAUCUGUAAAUGAAUCCCUUAUUCCUACUUGAGCCUCAACAUUUUAAGCUUCAGUUGAAAUUGUUGUUUUUAAAUAAGUACUUAAGAACAACAAAGUCAAUAGUUGAUGUCGAAGCACCAUUAAGAAUAAUAGGAAGACAAUAGUUUUUUAACAAAAGAAGAGAAGGCAGUAGUUCAUUUAAAUUCAAUUAUCUGCCUUUGUUCAAGUGAGCAUUCAGUAAAACAAAAUAGUAAUUUGCACAAGCUAUUGAAAAUUCCUUGUUUUGGUUUUGUUGGUUGCUUGGAGUUUGUUUGAAUAUAAUUUGAAUUAGUUUUCUUUGUGUUUUAAUAAAAUUUGAAUUACCAAAACGAAUUUUAAAAAUUGAAUGUUUGUAACUUUGUAAAUGCAUCGUGUUGUGUUUAGUCUUGUGUGGAUGCAACAUAACUUGACUUUAGACGAGUUCAAUUUCAAAGUGUUAUUUUAGAGUUGGUUUUGUGCCAAUUCAAAUGGCUAACAAUUUUUUUCUUUUGUUUCUCAAUUUACCUUUUUCGUAUUGCUAAUGAUAUGAAACAUAGUUCAAUUUACCUUUUAAGCAUAGUUUUAGUUGGAUUUUCUCUGUGAAUGAAAAGAUUAGAGAAGCCAUCGUUCCUCAAGUAAUCUUUUCAAAGAUUUUAAUUCUGGUGAGAGGUGAAUUUCAAAUCUUUUAAUCUUAGUUGCUUUCCUCAUGCAUGCAAUAUCUAAUUGUCAUGAUAUUAGGUGACAUUUGUGAGGUAGUUUGGAUGUUUUGCAAUCUUACUUGGACUGCUUUUAUAGGAUCUGUAGUGAAAUAGUAAAUAUUAGCAAUUCAGAACUCUUUCAGCGCCAACAGUAAAUAGUCCUUUCAAAAGAUUUUUAGUAGAACAACAAAGCUAACCCUGAAGUCAGUUUAGGAUCUAAAUCUGCCCAGAUAUGGAGAACUCUUAGUAAAAUAAAACUUCUUUUGUUUUAUAGCCGCGUAGUUGAUACCAAAGGUAUGAAUAUUGCAAUUUCCAUUUUUUGUUUUUCAAGAAUAUUUUCAAACUCAUCCAUUUUAUUUUAUUUUUUUCAUUUCAAACUCUUCCAUUUUCAUCAUUAGAAACACAAAUUCUUGUAUUGCAGGUUUGCGUAAUUAUAGUGAAUUCUCCAGGGCACUGAAUCAAGAAAGGCAACAUAAAUGUCAAUAAGGCCAUAUUUGUUGACUGUAAUCAUAGCUAGAAUACUAUAUUUGGAGCAUAUUGAGUUACUUGGGUUUAAGCUCGAUUAGGAGCUUUUUUUCAAUGCCAACUUCUAGAGUUCUUUUGAUUUUUCAAGUUGAUCCCAAACUUGACUCAUUAAGCACCAAGAAACCAUCCUUCUACAUGAACCAAGCGACUUAAGCUUGGGAUUGGUUUCCACUCAAUCAAAAGCCAAGCUUGAUAUUUUUUAGCAACAUAAAAGAAAAUGUCAUUUUCACAUCAUCUACUCCACCCAAUCCAUUUACCUUUAAUUGAUUAAUUUCUUACCUUUUUUUUUUUCUUCUCAGGUCUUGGGAACAUUAUUCAUUGUAGAGAAAGGAGGUGGCUCCUAAAUUUCGUUCAAUUCAGGGAAAAGCCUUUUGAUUUCUCUUACCCCUCUCUGAUAUAUGUGCAUAGCAAAAUCAUGAUAAUUGAUGACUGUAUAUCCUUGAUAGGAUCAGCUAAUAUAAAUGACAGGAGUUUACUUGGAUCAAGAGAUUCUGAGACAAAGAAUUUGUUGAUUCAUGUAUGGGAGGAAAGCCUUGGAAGGCAGGAAAAUUUUCUUCGAGUCUUCGCCUUACGCUAUGGUCUGAACACCUUUGUCUUCCAGCUGGAGAGGUUCUAAAGCUUGCUUGUUCCAUCCCAUGUGCUUAGUGAAUAACUUGAAUGAUGAUGACCUUCAUCUGUUAGUAUUGAAAGCUUGUGAAAAUCAAGUCCAUUGGUGCAAGUGCAUGAUAUAAGUCUUCAUGAACCAUUUCCGUCCAACAAUGAAAAUGGAGUAACGAUCAAAACAUGACAGGCAGUGGUUUUUCCAUAAAGAUUGCUUUUCAGAAUGUGUGGAAGGAAAAUGUCUCAAAUCCCAUAAUAAUAGUUCAAUAUGAUUACUAUUAGCUGGUUCCAAUCAAAACCAGGGAAUUAAUGACCAGUGGAGCAUAACCAUACGUGUAACCUUUGACAAAGUAUUGGCUGGAUGCAAGAAGGGAAAAAAACUACUUAACUAAUCCAAAAAGUAUUUUCGUUUUUCUAGGACAACAAGAGACUGAUUUGUUUUAUGGUUCCCAAUUUCGUAAAUGUAAAAUGUGAUUAUAAUUAUUCAAUAGAAAAGAAGAAAUAGUGUGUA
This is a non-coding RNA of Camellia sinensis, 3548 nucleotides long. Lineage: Eukaryota; Viridiplantae; Streptophyta; Magnoliopsida; Ericales; Theaceae. The record is from RefSeq and is a predicted model, not a curated record.